This 484-nucleotide ribosomal RNA is filed under the name swine fecal bacterium FPC110. Its description in RNAcentral is "bacterial SSU rRNA". It matches the Rfam family "Bacterial small subunit ribosomal RNA", at positions 7 to 503 of the family's 1533-position model. The record is from RNAcentral.
GAGAGUUUGAUCCUGGCUCAGGACGAACGCUGGCGGCGUGCCUAACACAUGCAAGUCGAACGGAGUUGAAAGGAGCUUGCUUUUUUCAACUUAGUGGCGGACGGGUGAGUAACGCGUGAGUAACCUGCCUUUCAGAGGGGGAUAACGUUCUGAAAAGAACGCUAAUACCGCAUAAGAUUGUAGUUUCGCAUGGGACAGCAAUCAAAGGAGCAAUCCGCUGAAAGAUGGACUCGCGUCCGAUUAGAUAGUUGGCGGGGUAACGGCCCACCAAGUCGACGAUCGGUAGCCGGACUGAGAGGUUGAUCGGCCACAUUGGGACUGAGACACGGCCCAGACUCCUACGGGAGGCAGCAGUGAGGGAUAUUGGGCAAUGGGGGAAACCCUGACCCAGCAACGCCGCGUGAGGGAUGACGGUUUUCGGAUUGUAAACCUCUGUCCUCUGUGAAGAUAGUGACGGUAGCAGAGGAGAAGCUCCGGCUAACUA